This is an RNA transcript of Vigna radiata var. radiata (mung bean), 1724 nucleotides long. RefSeq lists it as uncharacterized. The transcript is spliced from 4 exons. The record is from RefSeq and is a predicted model, not a curated record. NCBI's taxonomy places the organism in Eukaryota, Viridiplantae, Streptophyta, Magnoliopsida, Fabales, Fabaceae.
AAUUGUCAGACAAAGAAAAUGAGAAAGGUGCUCUCUCCUCCUUUCUUUCCUCCUCCUACUACACGACCAAAACUAUGCCAUUACAGGCAAGACCUAAAGUUUCAGACACAUCGCACCAAAACCUAGGUAGAAUCAACUACUAGACCACCUCGGUUCUCUCAACCAACAACACAAUAUAAACAACACACCCACGCACAAACACAAACACACGCUUAUUUUUCCUUUCUUUCUUUUCCAUUUUCCAUUUUCCAUUUUCCACCCUCUUCAAGAUGCCCAGGCCAGGCCCAAGACCAUACGAGUGCAUGAGGAGAGCUUGGCACAGCGACCGCCACCAACCCAUCAGAGGUUCCAUCAUUCGACGAAUUUUCAGGGUCGCCUCUCAGUUUCACUCUCUAUCUACUAAGAACAAAAAGGAGUGGCAGGAGAAGCUUCCCAUCGUUGUCCUCAGAGCCGAAGAAAUCAUCUACUCCAAAGCUAAUUCUGAGGCAGAGUACCUUAACCCCGACACGCUCCUCGACCGCCUCAAUGAUGCCAUCAACACUAUCAUUCGUAGAGAAGAAACCAACGAGACCGGCAAGCUUUUGCCACCAUGUAUCGAAGCUGCACUUAACCUUGGUUGCAAGCCAGUGAGAACAUCAAGAAGUGAUAGGCACAAUAUCUCCAGGACUUACCUUACAUCGAGGAAUCAACAAUACCCUUUUUCUGUUUCUCCCGAAUCUGUUGCUUCUAGCAAUGCUUUAGCCUUUUUUCCAGUGUCAGAUUCUAUCCACCAGACCAGCCUGAAUAACUACUCUUUAUUAAACAACUUUGCUGCUGUUCACCAUCACCAACCCUUUGCAGUGCAAAGUAACCCCUCAUUGAACUUCGGUUCCGUUUACCCAUUGUGUUAUGGUUUUGAACCCCAAGAGCCUCCACUGCGGAUCAACAACCCGGGGAACACUUACUCUGAUACAAUCUUUGUUGGCACACCCGUCAUUACUCCAGCCUUGGAGCCAUCUAGAAUGGAUCCAUUGCGGAACUUGUAAUGUGGUAGAGUCCAUUGUCCUCCCAACAGAAUUGUGAAAGAAACUGCUGUAAGUGUUGCGGAGGAGGAGUCGCGAGCCGGGGAAUGUGAUUUGUCUUUGAGGUUGGGUCUGUGUUUGCAGACUAACAAAACAAGUUCAGCAUAUGGCUUAGAAGAUGUCAGGCUAAGAGUUUCUCAGGAGGCUAGUAAAUUUGGCCGUUCAUCUCAACAGAUCAAUGAAGGUUACUGUUUUUACCCCGGAGGAACUGGUUAUGGUACCAUUUAGUGCAUGUUGUGGGAACAAGCUUCAUUUGGGGAACUAGUUGUCUUUUUAGUUUCCUUGAGAAAAUAACAAGUGAUUAUUUCUUCAAAAGAAGUUAAACCAAAUAUGCAUUUAUACCAUGACGUCGAGGGUGAUCUGAACAGGGGCAACUUUUCAGAAGGGCAAUGCGUUUCUAGGUAGCUACGGGAUGGGCAAUUUUGCGGGCAAUGACGGUUCCGUCCAAUCUGUUUACUGGUACAAUUGUUGGGUCAGGUUUUUAGUUUGUCGUUCUUGUUGUAGCAUAUAUGCUUUUGCAAUUCUAAUAGAUCCAUGAUGUUUAGUCCUCUCACGUGGAUUCUCUGUCUGUCUCUGCAUGUAAAAAUUAGGUGGUGACAUUGAUUUUCUCUAUCAUUGCUGCAAAAUUGAUCUGUAUAAUUAGCUUGCUUUGUUUUGUUUCUA